AGGCCACUGCUGUUGGGGUUCGGCUAAGCCAUGCGAGUGGAGGGCAGUUCGGCUGCCCCGCAUACGGCUCAGUAACACGUGGUCAACCUACCCUCGAGUCUGGGACAACCCCGGGAAACUGGGGAUAAUUCUGGAUAGGUGAAGGACGCUGGAAUGCCCCUUCACCCAAAGCUCCGGCGCUCGAGGAUGGGACUGCGACCUAUCAGGCUGUUGGUGGGGUUACGGCCCACCAAACCUACGACGGGUACGGGCGAUGGGAGUCGGAGCCCGGAGAUGGGGACUGAGACAAGGCCCCAGGCCCUACGGGGCGCAGCAGGCGCGAAAACUCCGCAAUGUGCGCAAGCACGACGGGGGGACCCCAAGUGCCGGUGAACUUUGUUCGCCGGCUUUUCUGGAGUGUAAGGAGCUCCAAGAAUAAGGGCUGGGUAAGACUGGUGCCAGCCGCCGCGGUAAUACCAGCAGCCCAAGUGGUGGUCGCGAUUAUUGGGCCUAAAGCGCUCGUAGCCGGACCGGUAAGUCCUUUGUGAAAUCGGACGGCUCAACCGUUCGGCUUGCAAAGGAUACUGUCGGCCUUGGGGUCGGGAAAGGUCGGAGGUACUUCCGGGGUAGCGGUGAAAUGCUGUAAUCCCGGGGGGACCACCAGUGGCGAAGGCGUCCGACUGGAACGAACCCGACGGUGAGGGGCGAAAGCUUGGGGAGCGAACGGGAUUAGAUACCCCGGUAGUCCAAGCCGUAAAGCAUGCGGGCUAGGUGUCAGGCGUCCUUCGAGGGCGUCUAGUGCCGGAGGGAAGCCGUUAAGCCCGCCGCCUGGGAAGUACGGUCGCAAGGCUGAAACUUAAAGAAAUUGGCGGGGGAGCACCACAAGGGGUGGAGCCUGCGGUUUAAUUGGAUUCAACGCCGGACAACUCACCGGGGGCGACGGCAAGUUGAAGGCCAGGUCGACGACCUUGCUAGAUGAGCCGAGAGGUGGUGCAUGGCCGUCGUCAGCUCGUACCGUGAGGCGUCCUGUCAAGUCAGGCAACGAGCGAGACCCUCAUCUCUAGUUGCCAUCGGAUCCGAAAGGAUGCUGGGCACUCUAGGGUCACCGCUGCCGCUAAGGCAGAGGAAGGAGAGGGCGACGGUAGGUCCGUAUGCCCCGAAUCCCCCGGGCUACACGCGGGCUACAAUGGUUGAGACAAUGGGAUGCCACUCCGAAAGGAGGAGCCAAACCCUUAAACUCAACCUUAGUUCGGAUCGAGGGCUGUAACUCGCCCUCGUGAAGCUGGAAUCCCUAGUAAUCGCGUGCCAAAAUCGCGCGGUGAAUACGUCCCUGCUCCUUGCACACACCGCCCGUCAAGCCACUCGAGUAUGGUUUGGGUGAGGCCUGUUCAAGUUGGGCUGGUCAAAUCCAGAUUAUGCAAGAGGGGCU
This 1408-nucleotide ribosomal RNA is filed under the name uncultured archaeon. RNAcentral's name for it is "bacterial SSU rRNA". It matches the Rfam family "Archaeal small subunit ribosomal RNA". The record is from RNAcentral.